CGGUUCGACGAGGCCCAAUAAGGCCAAUGAGCUUCGUUGGCGAAAUAAAAGGGUUUUGGGAUGAUGAGGGCGAACUGGUGCUGCAAGUCGGAGCGCGGAAGGUGGGAGGGGACUGGGGAGAGAGGAAUCGUGCGGCGAUGGGCUCUCGGUGCCCGCCUCGAAACUGCGAGGUCUGCUGCAUAGCGCAAUCCAAGUACAAGUGCCCGAACUGCCUUGCCCCUUAUUGCUCCUUGGCAUGCUUCAAGAAGCAUAAAGAAGUUCCAUGCCAAAAGCCAUCACCUUUGGUGGAAGAGCCACCAAAUCUAUUGCGUCCUCAACGACCAUUUGAAGUAGGAGAACCAAGUUGGGUUGUUGACAGAGAGCAAUUACAGUUGAUAGGUAAUGCUCAAUUCUAUUUCAACUUGCCAUUGUUUUGUCCAUUUGCUCUGUCAUUCUGUAUAUUUAAUUUAGCUAUCAAGCUUAGUAGUUCAGACUUCAGAUAUGAUAAUAUGGUUGCCUUGCUUUUAGUAUCCUAUUUGCGGGGAUAUAGAAUAAUAGAGAAAAAAAAAUUAGGAAGCAGCUUACUUUAGAGCUUUCAUUGGUUUAGGAAUUGUGAGGUCCAAUGCAUUAUAAUCAAAGACAUAUCCAUUAUUCCUGUGGUAGAUGGAGUUUGUGAUUCUUAAGAGAGUUGACAUUUAGGUACUAAAGAUUUAUUAUCUGGGUUUUGCUUUUUACCUUGUAAACUUCUUGAUAUGCGAUGGCUGAUAUUGUCUGAUAUCAACCCGGUGAAUUUCAUAGGAUCAAGUGUUUAAACCUACAAUAUUUGUCAUCUGCAAUAAGUGAUUUUGCUAGGAGGCGAGUUCCUUCACUGUACUUGUUUCUUUUUGUUAUAGUGAGACUAUCUUAGAUUGAGAACAUUACAUAAGGAGGAUCUUCUUGUGCAUUAUCUAGAAAAGUCCUAAAUUCCAAUCUUACUAGGUACUGAUCCUAUUUUCAGAUUUUAUACAUGAGUAUUCCUUUCUUUAAAAAUAACAACCUUGCCUUCAGAAUCAAUCAGUUACAUGCGAUUUCAUCAACAUUUCUAAUGUAACAAAAUAAAUUUACUUUAAGUUUGACUUUCUGUAUACUUGUGCAGGGGAGCUUAGCUUGAUUGCCAAAACGGCUCCUCCCUGGCCCUUUUUUUAGUGAUACUCAACUGGCUAUGUUGCUCUAUAAUCUUGAUACAACUGCUGAUACUGCUAGCAUUAUUUUUUGUAUACAUUUCCAAUUGCAUUUUAUCCAAAUCUCUAUUUUGCGGACUUGAAUGCUAAUUUGGUCUUUUGGGUAGUAGUACAAAUGUUGUUGAUUUAGAUUCCUUCUUAUCAAAGUUUGAUGACGCAAGAAAGCACAAGUUAGCUCGUUUCCCUGAUAUCUUUUCAGAUCAAAGUCAACUGAACAGUGUAGCUGCAUCUUGACAUCUAUAAAUCUCUAACGUUUGUCAUUUAUAUUUAUUCUUGUUUGCUUACUUGUCUGAUUGAUAUAAAGCCCUUAAAAUGUUUCAAAUGCCAUUUCACUACAAGCAGCAAACUCAAGCGCCAUACAGGAGAUCUUAAAGGAUGCAGAACUAAGAAGAAUAAUACGUCAAAUUGAUGCAGCUGAUGAGCCAGAGGAUCAACUGACUAACGCCAUGGAAGGGGAAGUUUUUCGUGCUCUUACAGAAAAGAUCCUCUCCAUUGUUAGUCCUAAAGAGUGAUAAUAUUCAUUUCUGAAACCCAAACUUGGAAGAUGAUCUAAUACUGAUAAGGAGGACCAGGCCCGUCCAUUUUUGAUUGGACCUGAUGAUGAAGAGAUUGAGUAUUACGAUCUAGUUGUUGUAAUUGUUUAUGUAAUGACUUUUCCUCUAUAAAACAAAAGUUAUAUUUAAAUAUAUAUGAUGGAGAUCGCGCUCCAAGAUUCUUGCUUUA
Molecule: RNA transcript, 1922 nt
Organism: Zingiber officinale
Lineage: Eukaryota; Viridiplantae; Streptophyta; Magnoliopsida; Zingiberales; Zingiberaceae
Gene name: zinc finger HIT domain-containing protein 3-like
Exons: 6
Source: RefSeq, a predicted model, not a curated record